CACGCCCUAAACGAUGGGUACUAGCCGUUUGGUGCGCGAUAGCGCUGAGUGGCGAAGCUAACGCGUGAAGUACCCCGCCUGGGGAGUACGGCCGCAAGGUUGAAACUCAAAGGAAUUGAC
Molecule: ribosomal RNA, 120 nt
Filed under: uncultured bacterium
Lineage: Bacteria
Description: partial 16S ribosomal RNA
Rfam family: Bacterial small subunit ribosomal RNA
Source: RNAcentral